This 1267-nucleotide ribosomal RNA is filed under the name Bacillus cereus. RNAcentral describes it as "bacterial SSU rRNA". It matches the Rfam family "Bacterial small subunit ribosomal RNA", at positions 38 to 1323 of the family's 1533-position model. Lineage: Bacteria; Bacillati; Bacillota; Bacilli; Caryophanales; Bacillaceae. The record is from RNAcentral.
GAAGGCGCUGCUAAUACUGCAAGUCGAGCGAAUGGAUUAAGAGCUUGCUCUGAUGAAGCUAGCGGCGGACGGGUGAGUAACACGUGUCUGACCUGCCCAUAAGACUGGCAUAACUCCGGGAAACCGGGGCUAGUAUCGGAUAACAUUUUGAACCGCAUGGUUCGAAAUUGAUAGGCCGCUUCGACUGUCACUUAUGGAUGGACCCACGUCGCAUUAUCUAGUUGGUGAGGUAACAGCUCACCAAGGCGACGAUGCAUGACCGACCUGAGAGGGUGAUCGGCCACACUGGGACUGAUACACGGCCCAGACUCCUACGGGAGGCAGCAGUAGGGAAUCUUCCGCAAUGGACGACAGUCUGACUGAGCAACGCCGCGUGAGUGAUGAAGGCUUUCGGGUCGUAAAACUCUGUUGUUAGGGAAGAACAAGUGCUAGUUGAGUAAUCUGGCACCUUGACGGUACCUAACCAGAAAGCCACGGCUAACUACGUGCCAGCAGCCGCGGUAAUACGUAUGUGGCAAGCGUUAUCCGGAAUUAUUGUGCGUAAAGCGCGCGCAUGUGGUUUCUUAAGUCUGAUGUGAAAUCCCACGGCUCAACCGUGGAGGGUCAUUGGAAACUGGGAGACUUGAGUGCAGAAUAGGAUGUAGCAGUUCCAUGUGUAGCGGUGAGAUGCGUAGAGAUAUGGAAGAGCACCAGUGGCGAAUGCUACUGUCUGGUCUGUAACUGACACUGAGGCGCGAAAGCGUGGGGAGCAAACGGGAUUACAUACCCUGGUAGUCCACGCCGUACACGAUGAAUGCUAAAUGUUAUAGGGUUUCCGCCCUUUAGUGCUGAAGUUAACGCAUUAAGCACUCCGCCUGGGGAGUACGGCCGCUAGAGCUGACACUCACACGAAUUGACGGGGGCCCGCACAAGCGGUGUAGCAUGUGCGUUAAUUCGAAUCANCGCGAUUAACCUUACCAGGUCUUGACAUCCACUGAUAACCCUAGACAUAGAGCUUCUCCUUCGGGAUCAAAGGACAGGUGGGCAUGGUUGUCAUCAGCUCGUGUCANNACNGUNAGGAUAAGUCCCUAACAUCGCAACCUUGAUCUAAUUGCCUCCUUAAGUGGACCCUCUAAGNGAAUGCAGNAACAAACGAAAGAAGGAGGGAUAANGNCAUACUGCUGGCCCUUAUGACUGGANUNCGACUGGNUAAAGGGACGAAAAAAAACGNGAAACUGCAGNUNGACUAUUCUAAAACGUUCCAUUCGAAUGAGGCUAAUCCCAAUGA